RNAcentral lists this ribosomal RNA (484 nucleotides) under uncultured bacterium. RNAcentral's name for it is "partial 16S ribosomal RNA". It matches the Rfam family "Bacterial small subunit ribosomal RNA", at positions 30 to 507 of the family's 1533-position model. The record is from RNAcentral.
AUUGAACGCUGGCGGCAGGCCUAACACAUGCAAGUCGAGCGGAUGAAGGGAGCUUGCUCCUGGCUUCAGCGGCGGACGGGUGAGUAAUGCCUAGGAAUCUGCCUGGUAGUGGGGGAUAACGUCCGGAAACGGGCGCUAAUACCGCAUACGUCCUGAGGGAGAAAGUGGGGGAUCUUCGGACCUCACGCUAUCAGAUGAGCCUAGGUCGGAUUAGCUAGUUGGUGGGGUAAAGGCCUACCAAGGCGACGAUCCGUAACUGGUCUGAGAGGAUGAUCAGUCACACUGGAACUGAGACACGGUCCAGACUCCUACGGGAGGCAGCAGUGGGGAAUAUUGGACAAUGGGCGAAAGCCUGAUCCAGCCAUGCCGCGUGUGUGAAGAAGGUCUUCGGAUUGUAAAGCACUUUAAGUUGGGAGGAAGGGCAGUAAGUUAAUACCUGGCUGUUUUGACGGUACCAACAGAAUAAGCACCGGCUAACUUCGUG